GUCAGCGGUCAUAGGGGAGGGGAAACACCCAAACCCAUUUCGAACUUGGAAGUUAAGCCCUCCUACGAUGUUGCCUGUACUGCCCUAACGGGCGGGAACGCGCAUUGCUGCUGACA
Molecule: non-coding RNA, 116 nt
Organism: Candidatus Micrarchaeota archaeon CG1_02_47_40
Lineage: Archaea; Nanobdellati; Microcaldota
Source: Rfam